GAUGAACGCUGGCGGCAUGCCUAAUACAUGCAAGUCGAACGGUCCUUCACAGAGAAAUCUAAUCAUAGAUUCUUUUGUGAAGGAUAGUGGCGGACGGGGUGAGGAAUACUUUGGAACCUACCCUUUAGUGAGGAAUAACUCUUUGAAAAAGAGCUAAUACCGCAUGUGCAACUUCGGUUGUAAAGUCUUCGGACGCUAAAGGAGGGGCCUGAGUCUGAUUAGUUAGUUGGUGGGGUAAUGGACCUACCAAGACAACGAUCAGUAGCUGGUUGAGAGGAUGAUCAGCCACACUGGAACUGAGACACGGUCCAGACUCCUACGGGAGGCAGCAGUAGGGAAUAUU
Molecule: ribosomal RNA, 343 nt
Filed under: uncultured bacterium
Lineage: Bacteria
Description: bacterial SSU rRNA
Rfam family: Bacterial small subunit ribosomal RNA
Source: RNAcentral